This 468-nucleotide ribosomal RNA is filed under the name uncultured bacterium. RNAcentral describes it as "partial 16S ribosomal RNA". It matches the Rfam family "Bacterial small subunit ribosomal RNA", at positions 28 to 507 of the family's 1533-position model. The record is from RNAcentral.
GACGAACGCUGGCGGCGUGCUUAACACAUGCAAGUCGAACGGAAAGGCCCUGCUUGUGUGGGGUGCUCGAGUGGCGCACGGGUGUGUAACACGUGAGUCACCUGCCCUUGACUUUGGUAUAACUUCAGGAAACUGGGGCUAAUACCGGAUAGGAGCUCCUUCUGCAUGGUGGGGGUUGGAAAGUUUCGGCGGUUGGGGAUGGACUCGCGGCUUAUCAGCUUGUUGGUGGGGGAGUGGCUUACCAAGGCUUUGACGGGUAGCCGGCCUGAGAGGGUGACCGGCCACAUUGGGACUGAGAUACAGGCCAGACUGCUACGGGGAGCAGUAGUGGAGAAUAUUGAACCAGGGGCGGAAGCGUGAUGCGGCAACGCCGCGUGCGGGAUGUCGGCCUUUGGGUUGUAAACCGCUUUGGCCUGUGACGAAGCGUGAGUGACGGUAAUGGGUAAAGAAGCACCGGCUAACUACGUG